Molecule: ribosomal RNA, 137 nt
Filed under: uncultured eukaryote
Lineage: Eukaryota
Description: partial 18S ribosomal RNA
Rfam family: Eukaryotic small subunit ribosomal RNA
Source: RNAcentral
UGGUGGGGUGACUUGUCUACUUAAUUGUGAUAACGAACGAGACCUUGACCUGCUAAAUAGCCAGGCUAGCUUUGGCUGGUCGCCGGCUUCUUAGAGGGACUAUCGGUUCAAGCCGAUGGAAGUGCGAGGCAAUAACA